RNAcentral lists this ribosomal RNA (640 nucleotides) under uncultured rumen bacterium. RNAcentral's name for it is "bacterial SSU rRNA". It matches the Rfam family "Bacterial small subunit ribosomal RNA", at positions 8 to 641 of the family's 1533-position model. The record is from RNAcentral.
AGAGUUUGAUCAUGGCUCAGGAUGAACGCUAGCGACAGGCUUAACACAUGCAAGUCGAGGGGCAGCGCGAUGGUAGCAAUACCAUUGGCGGCGACCGGCGCACUGGUGAGUAACACGUAUGCGACCUGCCCCGGACAGGGGGAUGAACCCGGGAAACUGGGCCUAAUACCCCAUACGCCGAUUGGAUGCAUGUCCUUUCGGUGAAAGAUCCGUCGGUCCGGGAUGGGCAUGCGGCGCAUUAGCUUGUUGGCGGGGCAACGGCCCACCAAGGCGACGAUGCGUAGGGGUUCUGAGAGGAAGGUCCCCCACACUGGUACUGAGACACGGACCAGACUCCUACGGGAGGCAGCAGUGAGGAAUAUUGGUCAAUGGGCGAUAGCCUGAACCAGCCAAGUCGCGUGCGGGAUGAAGGCCCUCCGGGUCGUAAACCGCUUUAGCCGGGGAGUAACGUGCGGGACGCGUCCCGCAGUGAGAGUACCCGGAGAAUAAGCAUCGGCUAACUCCGUGCCAGCAGCCGCGGUAAUACGGAGGAUGCGAGCGUUAUCCGGAUUUAUUGGGUUUAAAGGGUGCGCAGGCGGCGUGUCAAGUCAGCGGUCAAAAUGCGGCGCUCAACGCCGUACCGCCGUUGAAACUGGCAUGC